Molecule: ribosomal RNA, 357 nt
Filed under: uncultured Fusibacter sp.
Lineage: Bacteria; Bacillati; Bacillota; Clostridia; Eubacteriales; Fusibacteraceae
Description: bacterial SSU rRNA
Rfam family: Bacterial small subunit ribosomal RNA
Source: RNAcentral
UUGAGACAGGUGGUGGCAUGGUUGUCGUCAGCUCGUGUCGUGAGAUGUUGGGUUAAGUCCGCAACGAGCGCAACCCUUGUGUUUAGUUGCAAACAGGUCAAGCUGUGCACUCUAGACAGACUGCCGUGGACAACACGGAGGAAGGGUGGGGAGUGACGUCAAAUCAUCAUGCCCCUUAUGAUCUGGGCUACACACGUGCUACAAUGGCCGGUACAACGGGCAGCGAAGGAGCGAUCCGGAGCGAAAUCCUAAAAAGCCGGUCCCAGUUCGGAUUGCAGGCUGAAACUCGCCUACAUGAAGUUGGAGUUGCUAGUAAUCGCGAAUCAGAAUGUCGCGGUGAAUGCGUUCCCGGGUCUU